GUUCUGUGGGAAAGGCACAAGCGGAUACAUGCUGGAUUUUCUUUUAUUACUCCGAUUCUGCUCAUUUUUGGGAAUCUCCUUGUGGAAGAAUCUCCUGAUACCGCUUCCGAAGUUGUAUGGUCAAUGACCAUACGGAAAAAGCCUCCGAGACUGCAACGUUCAGCGGAGCUGAGAACGCCGAGUGACCGCGUCGACCCGCCGCUCGGACGGACGGCCACCGAGUCGGUGCACGUCACCCAGAACGAACCGAAGAAAAUACUCCUACUAUGUAAUUUAAAAUCCCCACAACUAAUGUUACCCCAGAUUUUAAAUGUACAUAUUCGGUGAAUAUUUUGCCGAGGCUUGGUCGUAUGUUGCGUAAAUGCUAAUAAGCUAGCUAAAACACCGCCGCGACCCGCUCGGACUCCCGCGGCCGUCGGCACCGCUGCAAUGGCGGGGCAAGGUCGGAGCAACGUAGCGUAAAAAAAAAAAAAAAAAAGACAUUCCUCGGGAACAAAUGGAGGGAACUCACUCACCACUGCCACCA
This is a long non-coding RNA of Syngnathus typhle (broad-nosed pipefish), 526 nucleotides long. RefSeq lists it as uncharacterized. The transcript is spliced from 2 exons. NCBI's taxonomy places the organism in Eukaryota, Metazoa, Chordata, Actinopteri, Syngnathiformes, Syngnathidae. The record is from RefSeq and is a predicted model, not a curated record.